AUAUCGCUAAGGGCUAUAGCUCAGUUAGGUGGAGCACCUCGUUUACACCCGAGAAGUUCUACAGUUCGAGUCCGUAUAGCCCUA
Molecule: transfer RNA, 84 nt
Filed under: Parnassia wightiana
Lineage: Eukaryota; Viridiplantae; Streptophyta; Magnoliopsida; Celastrales; Celastraceae
Description: tRNA-Val
Rfam family: tRNA (bases 10-84)
About the family: Transfer RNA (tRNA) molecules are approximately 80 nucleotides in length. Their secondary structure includes four short double-helical elements and three loops (D, anti-codon, and T loops).
Source: RNAcentral